UGGGGAAUAUUGGACCAUGGGGGAAACCCUGAUCCAGCAAUGCCGCGUGAGUGAAGAAGGCCUUAGGGUUGUAAAGCUCUUUCGCCCGCGAAGAUAAUGACGGUAGCGGGAGAAGAAGCCCCGGCUAACUCCGUGCCAGCAGCCGCGGUAAUACGGAGGGGGCUAGCGUUGUUCGGAAUUACUGGGCGUAAAGCGUACGUAGGCGGAUGCGCAAGUUGGGGGUGAAAUCCCGGGGCUUAACCUCGGAAUUGCCCUCAAAACUGCACGUCUUGAGACCGAGAGAGGUAAGGGGAAUUCCUAGUGUAGAGGUGAAAUCCGUAGAUAUUAGGAAGAACACCAGUGGCGAAGGCGCCUUACUGGCUCGGUACUGACGCUGAGGUACGAAAGCGUGGGGAGCAAACA
RNAcentral lists this ribosomal RNA (402 nucleotides) under uncultured bacterium. Its description in RNAcentral is "bacterial SSU rRNA". It matches the Rfam family "Bacterial small subunit ribosomal RNA", at positions 355 to 774 of the family's 1533-position model. The record is from RNAcentral.